CGAACGCUGGCGGCGUGCUUAACACAUGCAAGUCGAGCGGUAAGGCUCCUUCGGGAGUACACGAGCGGCGAACGGGUGAGUAACACGUGAGUAAUCUGCCCUUCACUUCGGGAUAACCACCGGAAACGGUGGCUAAUACCGAAUACGACCAGUCUUCGCAUGAGGUGCUGGUGGAAAGUCUUUUCGGUGAAGGAUGUGCUCGCGGCCUAUCAGCUUGUUGGUGGGGUAAUGGCCUACCAAGGCUUCGACGGGUAGCCGGCCUGAGAGGGUGACCGGCCACACUGGGACUGAGACACGGCCCAGACUCCUACGGGAGGCAGCAGUGGGGAAUAUUGGACAAUGGGCGAAAGCCUGAUCCAGCAACGCCGCGUGAGGGAUGACGGCCGUCGGGUUGUAAACCUCUUUCAGUACCGACGAAGCGCCCUGUCGGGUGGUGACGGUAGGUACAGAAGAAGGACCGGCCAACUACGUG
RNAcentral lists this ribosomal RNA (472 nucleotides) under uncultured bacterium. RNAcentral describes it as "partial 16S ribosomal RNA". It matches the Rfam family "Bacterial small subunit ribosomal RNA", at positions 30 to 507 of the family's 1533-position model. The record is from RNAcentral.